Molecule: ribosomal RNA, 207 nt
Filed under: uncultured bacterium
Lineage: Bacteria
Description: partial 16S ribosomal RNA
Rfam family: Bacterial small subunit ribosomal RNA
Source: RNAcentral
CUCGUAGGCGGCCAACUAAGUCGGAUGUGAGAUCCCCAGGCUCAACUUGGGAACUGCAUCCGAUACUGGUCGGCUUGAAUCCGGGAGAGGGAUGCAGAAUUCCAGGUGUAGCGGUGAAAUGCGUAGAUAUCUGGAGGAAUACCGGUGGCGAAGGCGGCAUCCUGGACCGGCAUUGACGCUGAUGUGCGAAAGCCAGGGGAGCAAACG